AAAUAACUGCCACCGGGUAGUAAAAAUGCUUAAAAGCAUUCGUGUGUACAUCGUUAGGUCUUUGAAGAUGUGCAUUACGAAUGCUUUUUUGAG
This 93-nucleotide non-coding RNA is filed under the name unclassified sequences. The record is from RNAcentral.